Molecule: ribosomal RNA, 979 nt
Filed under: Microphalloidea sp. 2 SB-2020
Lineage: Eukaryota; Metazoa; Platyhelminthes; Trematoda; Plagiorchiida
Description: partial large subunit ribosomal RNA
Rfam family: Eukaryotic large subunit ribosomal RNA
Source: RNAcentral
UAAGCGGAGGAAAAGAAACUAACAAGGAUUCCCCCAGUAACUGCGAGUGAACAGGGAUUAGCCCAGCACCGAAGCCUGUGGCCAGUUGGUCACUAGGCAAUGUGGUGUUCAGGUUGUUCCGCAAAGGUGCUGCUCCACCCUAAGUCCAUCAAUGAGUACGGUAGUACGGACAUGGCCCGUAGAGGGUGAAAGGCCCGUGGGGGUGGAGACCAGGCAGGCCAGUACCUUUCUGGAUAGACCUUGGAGUCGGGUUGUUUGUGAAUGCAGCCCAAAGCGGGUGGUAAACUCCAUCCAAGGCUAAAUACAAGCACGAGUCCGAUAGCGAACAAGUACCGUGAGGGAAAGUUGAAAAGUACUUUGAAGAGAGAGUAAACAGUGCGUGAAACCGGUCAGAGGUAAGCGGGUGGAGUUGAACUGCAAGCUCUGAGAAUUCAGCUGGUGAGUGUGGUUAGAGCUUGGCUAGUCUGUUGGGCCCUGAAGUCUGUGUAGCAGCAGGCCUUUGCCUCUCGGGGUGAAGGUGCGCGAUACACUUACCAAGUGUUGUGCGCUUUGGGUGUUCAUCGAGCCGACUCGCCAGUGCACUUUUUCAGAGUGGUCAUCACGACCGGCACCGCUGUCUGGCUGUUGUGGUUAAACCGAUCUCGCAUUGUCCUUGUGGCUCUGCUUGGUCGGGAUGGCAGGUAGCUCGAUGAUUUGCUUGUGGCUCGCUGCAGGCUUUGGUCUUCGAGUGUAAUCAGCUGACCGCAUCGGUUCUGUGCAGUGUGUCGGAGACGGCGGCUUUUGUGUGUGCGUGCGUGCCUGUCUGGUCGGCGUGUCCGAGUCUGGUCGUUUGUGCCUGUUCACGCAGGCCUGAUGAUGGCUCGGAUCCGUUCGGCUAGCGGUUGCGUGCGUGGCACAUUUUAUGGGCCAAUAGUCUGUGAUGUAGUGGUAGACUAUCCACCUGACCCGUCUUGAAACACGGACCAAGGAGAGUAACAUG